CGUGUAGGCGGUUCUUUAAGUCUUUGGUGAAAUCUCCCAGCUUAACUGGGAGGCUGCCAGGGAUACUGGAGGACUUGAGGGCAGCAGAGGGAAGUGGAAUUCCCGGUGUAGUGGUGAUAUGCGUAGAUAUCGGGAGGAACACCAGUGGCGAAGGCGGCUUUCUGGGCUGUACCUGACGCUGAGGCGCGAAAGCGUGGGGAGCAAACAGGAUUAGAUACCCUGGUAGUCCACGCCUUAAACGAUGGAUACUAGGUAUGGGGGGUAUCGACCCCCCCCGUGCCGAAGUUAACGCUUUAAGUAUCCCGCCUGGGGAUUACGGCCGCAAGGCUAAA
This 332-nucleotide ribosomal RNA is filed under the name uncultured bacterium. Its description in RNAcentral is "bacterial SSU rRNA". It matches the Rfam family "Bacterial small subunit ribosomal RNA", at positions 568 to 898 of the family's 1533-position model. The record is from RNAcentral.